AGCAUGUGGUUUAAUUCGAAGAUACACGAAGAACCUUACCUGGCCUUGACAUGGUAGGAACCCUUAAGAGAUUAGGGGUGCUAGCUUGCUAGAACCUACACACAGGUGCUGCACGGCUGUCGUCAGCUCGUGUCGUGAGAUGUUGGGUUAAGUCCCGCAACGAGCGCAACCCUCGUCCUUAGUUGCUAACAGUUCGGCUGAGCACUCUAGGGAGACUGCCUUCGCAAGGAGGAGGAAGGUGAGGACGACGUCAAGUCAUCAUGGCCCUUACGGCCAGGGCUACACACGUGCUACAAUGGGGCGUACAGAGAGCUGCGAUACCGCGAGGUGGAGCCAAUCUCUUAAAGCGUCUCUCAGUUCGGAUUGUUCUCUGCAACUCGAGAACAUGAAGCUGGAAUCACUAGUAAUCGCAGAUCAGCUAUGCUGCGGUGAAUACGUUCCCGGGUCUU
RNAcentral lists this ribosomal RNA (449 nucleotides) under uncultured Sulfuricurvum sp. Its description in RNAcentral is "bacterial SSU rRNA". It matches the Rfam family "Bacterial small subunit ribosomal RNA", at positions 936 to 1382 of the family's 1533-position model. The record is from RNAcentral. Lineage: Bacteria; Pseudomonadati; Campylobacterota; Epsilonproteobacteria; Campylobacterales; Sulfurimonadaceae.